AUUGAACGCUGGCGGCAUGCUUUACACAUGCAAGUCGAACGGUAACAGCACUUCGUUGGCUGACGAGUGGCUAACGGGUGAGUAAUACAUCGGAACGUGCCUAGUAGUUGGGGAUAACUACUCGAAAGAGUAGCUAAUACCGCAUGAGAUCUAAGGAUGAAAGCAGUGGACCUUCUUGCCUUGCUCUACUAGAGCGGCUGAUGGCAGAUUAGGUAGUUGGUGGGAUAAAAGCUUACCAAGCCGACGAUCUGUAGCUGGUCUGAGAGUAGGACCAGCGACAUUGGGACUGAGCCAGGGACAAGAGUCCUAAGGGAGGCAGCAGUGGGGAACUUUGGACAAUGGGCGAAAGCAUGAUACAGUAAUGCCGCGUGCAGGAUGACGGCCUUGGGGUUGUAAACUGCUUUUGUACGGAACGAACAGCCCUCUUCUAAUACAGGAGGGUCAUGACGGUAAUGUAAGAAUAAGCACCGGCUAACUACGUG
RNAcentral lists this ribosomal RNA (482 nucleotides) under uncultured bacterium. RNAcentral describes it as "partial 16S ribosomal RNA". It matches the Rfam family "Bacterial small subunit ribosomal RNA", at positions 30 to 507 of the family's 1533-position model. The record is from RNAcentral.